AUUGAACGCUGGCGGCAUGCUUUACACAUGCAAGUCGAACGGUAACAGGGUGCUUGCACCGCUGACGAGUGGCGAACGGGUGAGUAAUGCGUCGGAACGUGCCGAGUAGUGGGGGAUAACGCAGCGAAAGUUGUGCUAAUACCGCAUACGUACUGAGGUAGAAAGUGGGGGACCUUCGGGCCUCACGCUAUUCGAGCGGCCGACGUCUGAUUAGCUAGUAGGUGGGGUAAAGGCUUACCUAGGCGACGACCAGUAGCGGGUCUGAGAGGCUGAUCCGGCACACUGGGACUGAGCCACGGCCCAGACCCCUACUGGCAGCAGCAGUGGGGAAUUUUGGACAAUGGGCGAGAGCCUGAUCAAGCCAUGCCGCGUGUCUGAAGAAGGCCUUCGGGUUGUAAAGGACUUUUGUCAGGGAGGAAAUCCCUAGUGCUAAUAACACUGGGGGAUGACAGUACCUGAAGAAUAAGCACCGGCUAACUACGUGCCAGCCGCCGCGGUAA
Molecule: ribosomal RNA, 500 nt
Filed under: uncultured bacterium
Lineage: Bacteria
Description: partial 16S ribosomal RNA
Rfam family: Bacterial small subunit ribosomal RNA
Source: RNAcentral